This 429-nucleotide ribosomal RNA is filed under the name uncultured bacterium. RNAcentral's name for it is "bacterial SSU rRNA". It matches the Rfam family "Bacterial small subunit ribosomal RNA", at positions 355 to 776 of the family's 1533-position model. The record is from RNAcentral.
UGGGGAAUAUUGCACAAUGGGCGCAAGCCUGAUGCAGCGACGCCGCGUGGAGGAUGAAGGUUUUCGGAUUGUAAACUCCUGUUAAGUGGGAAGAAAGGGUAGCAUCUAAUACAUGCUAUGAAUGACGGUACCACUAGAGAAAGCACCGGCAAACUUCGUGCCAGCAGCCGCGGUAAUACGAAGGGUGCAAGCGUUAUUCGGAGUUACUGGGCGUAAAGAGCGUGUAGGCGGUUUUUUAAGUCAUUUGUUAAAUCUCUCGGCUUAACCGGGAAAAGGCAGGUGAUACUGAUUGACUAGAGGGUAAGAGAGAGAAGCGGAAUUCUCGGAGUAGCGGUAAAAUGCGUAGAUCUCGAGAGGAACACCGGUGGCGAAGGCGGCUUCUUGGCUUAUUUCUGACGCUAAAGCGCGAAAGCGUGGGGAGCAAACAGG